GACGAACGCUGGCGGCGUGCUUAACACAUGCAAGUCGAACGGAAAGGCCCUGCUUUUGUGGGGUGCUCGAGUGGCGAACGGGUGAGUAACACGUGAGUAACCUGCCCUUGACUUUGGGAUAACUUCAGGAAACUGGGGCUAAUACCGGAUAGGAGCUCCUGCUGCAUGGUGGGGGGUGGAAAUUUUCGGCGGGUGGGGAUGGACUCGCGGCUUAUCAGCUUGUUGGUGGGGUAGUGGCUUACCAAGGCUUUGACGGGUAGCCGGCCUGAGAGGGUGACCGGCCACAUGGGGACUGAGAGACGGCCCAGACUCCUACGGGAGGCAGCAGUGGGGAAUAUUGCACAAUGGGCGGAAGCCUGAUGCAGCAACGCCGCGUGCGGGAUGACGGCCUUCGGGUUGUAAACCGCUUUCGCCUGUGACGAAGCGUGAGUGACGGUAAUGGGUAAAGAAGUACCGGCUAACUACGUG
This 468-nucleotide ribosomal RNA is filed under the name uncultured bacterium. Its description in RNAcentral is "partial 16S ribosomal RNA". It matches the Rfam family "Bacterial small subunit ribosomal RNA", at positions 28 to 507 of the family's 1533-position model. The record is from RNAcentral.